Molecule: unclassified non-coding RNA, 1439 nt
Filed under: uncultured Neocallimastigales
Lineage: Eukaryota; Fungi; Neocallimastigomycota; Neocallimastigomycetes; Neocallimastigales
Description: partial contains small subunit ribosomal RNA, internal transcribed spacer 1, 5.8S ribosomal RNA, internal transcribed spacer 2, and large subunit ribosomal RNA
Rfam family: Eukaryotic large subunit ribosomal RNA (bases 667-1439)
Source: RNAcentral
GAAGUAAAAAAGUCGUAACAAGGUUUCCGUAGGUGAACCUGCGGAAGGAUCAUUAAAAAUAUCGCUCGAUUGAGAGUGAUUUAAUAAUCAUCCUACCCUUUGUGAAUUUUUGUUGUAAUAAUUUUUUGAUUUUAAAAAAAAUUAUUUAUGUUUGUCUAUCCCUAAAAUUGGUUUGUUGUGAAAUGAAUCAAAUUUAGGGAAUAGGCUUUCAUAAAUAAGUUUUUUUUAAAGUCUUAAAGACCUUUUUUAAAAUUAAACUUUUGUAUCAUUUGUCUAAAUUUUUUUUAAAUAAUUAAAAACAACUUUUGACAAUGAUCUCUUGGUUCUCGCAACGAUGAAGAACGCAGCCAAAAUGCGAUAAGUAAUGUGAAUCGCAGAAUACGUGAAUCAUCAAAUCUUCGAACGCAUAUUGCACUUUUUUAGUUUACUAAAAAGUAUGUCUGUUUGAGUAUCAGUAAAAUAUCUCAUAAAAACAUUUUUGUUUUAUGGUUAUGAGUGUUUUACAACGAUAAACAAGUUGUUUCACUUUAAAUUCAUUUUAAUUUAAGACUAUUUAUGGUUUUAAUAAAAAAUUGGAUAAAAUUUUCCCGUAAAAAGGAAUAAUUUUCAGUUUUUUAAUUAUUACCAACAACGGUCCGAUUUUAAAAGGAAUUUAUUUAAAUAACUUGAUCUCAAAUCAGAUAAGAGUACCGCUGAACUUAAGCAUAUCAAUAAGCGGAGGAAAAGAAACUAACAAGGAUUCCCUUAGUAACGGCGAGUGAAGCGGAAAGCUCAAAUUUAAAUCUUCAAGGUUCUACCUUGACGAAUUGUAGUUUAAAGAAGUGUUUCUGUUAGAUGAGUAGCAAAAGUUCUUGGAAUGGGACAUCAUAGAGGGUGAGAAUCCCGUAUUUGGUUAUUCAUUCUAGCUUUGUGAUACACUUUCAAAAGAGUCGGAUUGUUUGGGAAUGCAGUCCAAAAUGGGUGGUAAAUUUCAUCUAAAGCUAAAUAUUGGCGAGAGACCGAUAGCGAACAAGUACCGUGAGGGAAAGAUGAAAAGAACUUUGAAAAGAGAGUUAAACAGUACGUGAAAUUGUCAAAAGGGAAGCGUUUUGACACCAGUGUUGUUUUCCGAAAAUCAAUUACGAAUGGCUUGAUUUUGUGUUGUAUUGACCUUAUCAGCUUUCUUCACUUUUUUCGAGUCUUUCUUAAUGCACUUUUCGGUUAACAAUCAACAUCAAUUUCUUUUGUUGUAAAAGAGUAUUCGGAAGGUGGCUUUCUUUACGGAGAAAGUGUUUAUAGCCCUAUACUUCUACAAUCGGAGAGAUUGAGGUCUGCAGCGUAGAUCCUUCGGGUUAGAUACAUUUGUGCUAAGUUGUAGCUUUUCAUAGACAACUUGUUGACUAUGUUUAGUCAUGCGGCUUACUCGCUUAUGCUAUUUUACCUACGCUUAGGAUGUUGAA